Long non-coding RNA from Manis pentadactyla (Chinese pangolin), 2438 nucleotides. RefSeq lists it as uncharacterized. The transcript has 3 exons. The record is from RefSeq and is a predicted model, not a curated record. Lineage: Eukaryota; Metazoa; Chordata; Mammalia; Pholidota; Manidae.
CUAGCUUCCAUCUCAUGAGGCAGGUCUAUGCAGAGACCCCCAUGGCGAGGACUGAGGGCUGUCGGCUGCUAAAAGCCACCUAAAUGGAUUUGGACAAGGAUCCGCUCAAGAUGAAAUGGCAGCCCUGACUGACAGCUUCCCUGACAGUGCAUGAGUGACCUUGAGCUAGGGGUGCAUUCAGGUUCAUCCAGGUUCCUGAGCACCAGAAACUAUGAGACGUAGAGAAAAAUGACAGGGACUCACUUUCCAAGAAAUUACACUGUGUUCAAUGACUUCCCAUCAAGAGUAAGCAAUGUUCCGUAUCCUGCCAUUGGAAGGACUAUUACCCUGCACAUUCACAGGCCCACAGCUUGCUUCCUGCCUCAGGUUUCCAUCUUUGGACCACAGCCUGAACAUUGGGCUCGAGGAGCUGUCCUAAGUGGAGCACUGGCAGCAAUCACUGUGACAUUUCUGCACGGGCAGCUCACCCUCCCAGACUUGUGAAGUCUUGGCAUUUUCUGCCACCCUGGGGAUCAGCAGGAGGAGCUGUGGGUCAGCCCUGCCUGAGGAUCCCUGGUGCCUAGCAGUGGCUGGACACAGCAGGAAUGAAAACAAUAUUAAUUUUUUGAAGAAAUAAAUGAAUGAGUGUCCAGGAUUCAAGCCAAGCCUUAAAGUCUUAGAGGUUUUUCUAAAGAAACUUGAUCCUGUUACUUCCCCAUGGGCAACCCUUUUCAGCUCAUUGUUCUUGAGUCUGGUCUCUCACCCCAUCCGGCGACAUCCGGUCCUUUCUGGUCCAGAUCCAGCCUCACCUUGUUCCCCUCCCUCCACACUCAGCCGCAGGCCACCCUGCAUUACUCUCAGCACCUCUGUGAGAAGGGCUCUCUUUUGCCACUGAUCUCUCAUUCAUUUCUGUCCUUGGAACAAUCUUCGUUCAUUCCCCACUCUCCUGCUGGCCAUGCUACUUGUCAUCUAGAUCUCAGGCAUGUGUCCCCUCUGCUUGGAAGCCUUCCCUGCUUAGAGGCACCACUGCCUGAGAUGGAGCCUCAUUGCUGUCACAUCCUCUGUGGCCUUCCUGAUCACACUCACUGUGAAAGCCUAAAAUGAUCAUUCACUAAAAAUGAUCAGUUACUCAAAUUUAAGUACAUGUUCAAGCUCAAGCUUAACAUACAGCUCCUCACCUUCAUAUCUAUCAAAGGUUCCCACUGCAUUUAAAAUAUAAUCUGAACUUUUUUCCAGGGCCUUUGAGACCCCUGCUGAACUGCCCCCUCCCCCUGAAACCUCCCUCCCUCCACUCUCCUCUCACUCACUGUGCUCUCACCACACUGGCCUUGAUGUUCCUUGAGCAGGCCCAACUCCUUCCUGGAGCCUCAGGGCCUUUGCACACACUCUUCUUUCUGCUCAGAAAGCUCCAGAUUCCCCUGGAGACUGUGGGCUCGUUUACAGGUUUCUGCUCCACAGUCAUCUCAUCCCCAAAUGAAUCAUUCCAUCGAAAGCUGUCCCCAUCAACCUCUUGAGUCCUCAGCAAUCACAUGAAGGAAGUUUUGUUUUAUUUACAAUACCUGUCAUUAGCUGAAAUGUUUUAUUUAUUUACUUGCUCACUCAUUGGCUGGCUGCCUCAUUUGACUGCAAUGACAAGGGUCUAGCUCAUUACCAUCCCUCCUGUACCUAGUACAUCCAGCCACUCAGCGACUACCAAGCUGACCAUCUUUUUGGCAAGCCACCAGCCUGGGACUCCCAUGCAAUGAAGAAAUCUGAGCUGCUCAACAAUGCUGGGCCCCUGCCCUGGGCUGUGCCAGCAUGAGGGGGAGUCUCAACAGCUCACAAAGCAGCCCUGCAGUCCUUCCCUUCUUUCUUGUCCAGUUUUACACCAUCUGCCUUAAAAAUAAUUAAGACAUUAGAAAAAAAUUCCAGACUACAUGAUUUGGGGCACUCACAUCACAUGCUGUUACUCUGCCAGAGAUUUUGGUGGUUCUCACGCCAAGGGUACCAGACCUACAGGAGGAGCCCUCACAAAUCACUAGGUAGAGAGUGGGCAACAUCAUUCAGUCCCUGGCAGGAGUGCCCCAUUGCCCCACGGCAGGCUGAUAAACAGGGAGGGCCUGGGCACCAGUCAUCCAUCUCCUUAAUGGGACAUUAAUGUCUUCAACUGGCCACUUGGGCCCCCAGCACAGAAUCCAACUGGGGCAGUGUCUAAUUGCCCCCUGACGCCAGUGAUUUAUGGCAUGGGCUCCCAUGGCAGCUUGAAUCCAGCCAAUUUAUUCAGAGAGUGAACUGAAAAUGGUGGCUUAACAAGGAGCUCCCCCCGCACCUGUUUGGUGCUUAUUCAGUAGGGCACAGGUCGGCUGGGCAGGGCCAUGGCCACUGGGAAAGGACUGGCCAGGAAAACACAGGAGGUGGGUACUUGCCCCCACCCCAUUCCCCAGCCUCCCCAGAUAUCCCAUAUUCUAAAAUUGGACCUU